UACGAAGGGGGCUAGCGUUGUUCGGAAUUACUGGGCGUAAAGGGCGCGCAGGCGGCCCUCCAAGUCAGGCGUGAAAGCCCCGGGCUCAACCCGGGAAUAGCGCUUGAGACUGGGGGGCUUGAGUUCGGGAGAGGAGAGUGGAAUUCCCAGUGUAGAGGUGAAAUUCGUAGAUAUUGGGAAGAACACCGGUGGCGAAGGCGGCUCUCUGGACCGUAACUGACGCUGAGGCGCGAAAGCGUGGGGAGCAAACAGG
RNAcentral lists this ribosomal RNA (253 nucleotides) under uncultured bacterium. RNAcentral describes it as "partial 16S ribosomal RNA". It matches the Rfam family "Bacterial small subunit ribosomal RNA", at positions 524 to 776 of the family's 1533-position model. The record is from RNAcentral.